RNAcentral lists this ribosomal RNA (254 nucleotides) under uncultured bacterium. Its description in RNAcentral is "partial 16S ribosomal RNA". It matches the Rfam family "Bacterial small subunit ribosomal RNA", at positions 524 to 776 of the family's 1533-position model. The record is from RNAcentral.
GACGAAGGAUGCAAGCGUUAUCCGGAUUCAUUGGGUUUAAAGGGAGCGUAGGCGGCCUUAUAAGUCAGUGGUGAAAUCUUUGGGCUUAACCCAAAAAUUGCCAUUGAUACUGUAGGGCUUGAGUACAGUUGCUGUGGGCGGAAUAUGACAUGUAGUGGUGAAAUACAUAGAGAUGUCAUAGAACACCGAUUGCGAAGGCAGCUCACAAAACUGUAACUGACGCUGAGGCUCGAAAGUGCGGGGGAUCAAACAGG